ACGGCUCAGUAACACGUGGACAACCUGCCCUCGGGAGGGGGAUAACCCCGGGAAACUGGGGCUAAACCCCCAUAGGUGAUGGAUACUGGAAUGUUCCAUCACCGAAAGUCCGCAAGGAGCCCGAGGAUGGGUCUGCGGCGGAUUAGGUAGUUGGUGGGGUAACGGCCCACCAAGCCGAAGAUCCGUACGGGCUGUGAGAGCAGGAGCCCGGAGAUGGACCCUGAGACAAGGGUCCAGGCCCUACGGGGCGCAGCAGGCGCGAAACCUCCGCAAUGCGGGAAACCGCGACGGGGUCAGCCGGAGUGCCGAUGCUCGCAUCGGCUGUCGGGGUGCCUAAAAAGCACCCCAUAGCAAGGGCCGGGCAAGGCCGGUGGCAGCCGCCGCGGUAAUACCGGCGGCCCGAGUGGCGGCCACUAUUAUUGGGCCUAAAGCGUCCGUAGCCGGGCUGGUAAGUCCUCCGGGAAAUCUGGUCGCUUAACGAUCAGACUUCCGGAGGAUACUGCUGGCCUAGGGACCGGGAGAGGCCGAGGGUAUUCCCGGGGUAGGGGUGAAAUCCUGUAAUCCCGGGAGGACCACCUGUGGCGAAGGCGCUCGGCUGGAACGGGUCCGACGGUGAGGGACGAAGGCCAGGGGAGCGAACCGGAUUAGAUACCCGGGUAGUCCUGGCUGUAAACGAUGCGGACUAGGUGUUGGGCAAGCUAAGGGCUUGUCCGGUGCCGCAGGGAAGCCGUUAAGUCCGCCGCCUGGGGAGUACGGCCGCAAGGCUGAAACUUAAAGGAAUUGGCGGGGGAGCAC
This 795-nucleotide ribosomal RNA is filed under the name uncultured archaeon. Its description in RNAcentral is "bacterial SSU rRNA". It matches the Rfam family "Archaeal small subunit ribosomal RNA", at positions 85 to 879 of the family's 1478-position model. The record is from RNAcentral.